UCUGGCAGUUUUAGCGCGGUGGUCCCACCUGAUCCCAUUCCGAACUCAGAAGUGAAAUGUCGUAGUGCCGAUGGUAGUGUGGGGUUUCCCCAUGUGAGAGUAGGGAAUUGUCAGAC
RNAcentral lists this ribosomal RNA (116 nucleotides) under Arsenophonus sp. Lineage: Bacteria; Pseudomonadati; Pseudomonadota; Gammaproteobacteria; Enterobacterales; Morganellaceae. The record is from RNAcentral.